RNAcentral lists this ribosomal RNA (253 nucleotides) under uncultured bacterium. RNAcentral's name for it is "partial 16S ribosomal RNA". It matches the Rfam family "Bacterial small subunit ribosomal RNA", at positions 524 to 776 of the family's 1533-position model. The record is from RNAcentral.
UACAGAGGGUGCGAGCGUUGUCCGGAAUUACUGGGCGUAAAGAGCUCGUAGGUGGUUUGUCGCGUUGUUCGUGAAAACUCACAGCUCAACUGUGGGCGUGCGGGCGAUACGGGCAGACUGGAGUACUGCAGGGGAGACUGGAAUUCCUGGUGUAGCGGUGGAAUGCGCAGAUAUCAGGAGGAACACCGGUGGCGAAGGCGGGUCUCUGGGCAGUAACUGACGCUGAGGAGCGAAAGCGUGGGGAGCGAACAGG